AGUUUGAUCAUGGCUCAGAUUGAACGCUGGCGGGAUGCUUUACACAUGCAAGUCGAACGGCAGCACGGACUUCGGUCUGGUGGCGAGGGCGAACGUGAGUAAUGUAUCGGAACGUGCCUAGUAGCGGGGGAUAACUACGCGAAAGCGUAGCUAAUACCGCAUACGCCCUUCGGGGAAAGUGGGGACCCGGGCCUCGCACUAUUAGAGCGGCCGAUAUCGAUUAGCUAGUUGGUGGGGUAACGGCUCACCAAGGCGACGAUCCGUAGCUGGUUUGAGAGGACGACCAGCCACACUGGGACUGGAGAUUAUCGGCCCAGAUCCUACGGGAGGCAGCAGUGGGGAAUUUUGACAAUGGGGAAACCUGAUCCAGGCCAUCCGGGCGUGUGCGAUGAAGGCCUUCGGGUUGUAAAGCACUUUUGGCAGUGAAAGAAACGGCACGGAUAAUACCCCGUGCAACUGACGGCACCACCGGCGCACCGGCUAACUACGUGCCAGCAGCCGCGGUAAUACGUAGGGUGCAAGCGUUAAUCGGAAUUACUGGGCGUAAAGCGUGCGCAGGCGGUUCGGAAAGAAAGAUGUGAAAUCCCAGAGCUUAACUUUGAACUGCAUUUUUAACUACCGAGCUAGAGUGUGUCAGAGAGGUGGAAUUCCGCGUGUAGCAGUGAAAUGUGUAGAUAUGCGGAGGAACACCGAUGGCGAAGGCAGCCUCCUGGGAUAACACUGACGCUCAUGCACGAAAGCGUGGGGAGCAAACAGGAUUAGAUACCCUGGUAGUCCACGCCCUAAACGAUGUCACCCAUUGUUGGCCUGCCCCUUGGUAGCGCGGCUGGAUCGCAGGAAGUUGGACCGUCAGGAGUAUGGUCGCAAGAUUAAAACUCAGCGAAUUGAUUUUUGGGACCCGCACAGCGUGGAUGAUGUGAUUAAUUCGAUGCAACGCGAAAAAACCUUACCUACCCUUGACAUACCCGGAACCUGAAGAGAUUUGGGAGGUCGCAAGAGAACCGGAAACAGGUGCUGCAUGUUGGGCGUCAGCUCGUGUCGUGAGAUGUUGGGUUAAGUCCCGCAACGGAGCGCAACCCAUUAUUAUUACAGCCGAAAGGGCACUCUAUCGACUGCCGGUGACAAACCGGAGGAAGGUGUAGAUGACGUCAAGUCCUCAUGGCCCUUAUGGUAGGGCUUCACACGUCAAGAAGGAAUGGUCGGGACAGAGGUGGUCGCCAACCCGCGAGGGAGCCAAUCCCAGAAACCCGACCGUAGUCCGAUCGCAGUCUGCAACUCGACUGCGUGAAGUCGGAAUCGCUAGUAAUCGCGGAUCAGCAUGUCGCGGUGAAUACGUUCCCGGGUCUUGUACACACCGCCCGUCACACCAUGGGAUGGUCACCAGAAGUAGUUAGCCUAACCGUAAGGAGGGCGAUUACUACGGUAGGAUUCAUGACUGGGGUGAAGUCGUAACAAGGUAAC
Molecule: ribosomal RNA, 1461 nt
Filed under: uncultured Bordetella sp.
Lineage: Bacteria; Pseudomonadati; Pseudomonadota; Betaproteobacteria; Burkholderiales; Alcaligenaceae
Description: partial 16S-23S ribosomal RNA intergenic spacer
Rfam family: Bacterial small subunit ribosomal RNA
Source: RNAcentral